GAUGAACGCUGGCGGCGUGCCUAACACAUGCAAGUCGAGCGAUUUACUUCGGUAAAGAGCGGCGGACGGGUGAGUAACGCGUGGGUAACCUGCCCUGUACACACGGAUAACAUACCGAAAGGUAUGCUAAUACGGGAUAACAUAUUUUUAUCGCAUGGUAAAAAUAUCAAAGCUUUUGCGGUACAGGAUGGACCCGCGUMUGAUUAGCUAGUUGGUAAGGUAMCGGCUUACCAAGGCGACGAUCAGUAGCCGACCUGAGAGGGUGAUCGGCCACAUUGGAACUGAGACACGGUCCAAACUCSUACGGGAGGCAGCAGUGGGGAAUAUUGCACAAUGGGCGAAAGCCUGAUGCAGCAACGCCGCGUGAGCGAUGAAGGCCUUCGGGUMGUAAAGCUYUGUCCUCAAGGAAGAUAAUGACGGUACUGAGWUAGCCCCCA
Molecule: ribosomal RNA, 437 nt
Filed under: uncultured bacterium
Lineage: Bacteria
Description: bacterial SSU rRNA
Rfam family: Bacterial small subunit ribosomal RNA
Source: RNAcentral